AUUAAAGUGACAGAGUAAAUGUGUUGGAUUUAAGCUCCAUUUAUGAAAAAUUCCUUUAAUA
This 61-nucleotide transfer RNA is filed under the name Argas lagenoplastis. RNAcentral's name for it is "tRNA-Leu". Lineage: Eukaryota; Metazoa; Arthropoda; Arachnida; Ixodida; Argasidae. The record is from RNAcentral.